RNAcentral lists this microRNA precursor (72 nucleotides) under Drosophila sechellia. RNAcentral describes it as "microRNA dse-mir-982b precursor (dse-mir-982b-2)". Its record names the gene dse-mir-982b-2. Lineage: Eukaryota; Metazoa; Arthropoda; Insecta; Diptera; Drosophilidae. The record is from miRBase by way of RNAcentral.
AUGCUAGAUCAAGAACAAAUAUCAUGUAAAUUGCUUUUUUACAUCAAAUACAGGAUAUUCGUUCUUGAGCUU